AGCGAACGCUGGCGGCAGGCUUAACACAUGCAAGUCGAACGGUCCUUCGGGACAGUGGCGGACGGGUGAGUAACACGUGGGAACGUACCCUUAGGUUCGGAACAACACAGGGAAACUUGUGCUAAUACCGGAUAAGCCCUUCGGGGGAAAGAUUUAUCGCCUUUGGAGCGGCCCGCGUCUGAUUAGCUUGUUGGUGAGGUAAUGGCUCACCAAGGCUACGAUCAGUAGCUGGUCUGAGAGGAUGGCCAGCCACACUGGGACUGAGACACGGCCCAGACUCCUACGGGAGGCAGCAGUGGGGAAUCUUGCGCAAUGGGCGAAAGCCUGACGCAGCCAUGCCGCGUGGAUGAUGAAGGUCUUAGGAUUGUAAAGUCCUUUCACCGGGGACGAUAAUGACGGUACCCGGAGAAGAAGCCCCGGCUAACUUCGUGCCAGCAGCCGCAGUAA
This 447-nucleotide ribosomal RNA is filed under the name uncultured bacterium. RNAcentral describes it as "partial 16S ribosomal RNA". It matches the Rfam family "Bacterial small subunit ribosomal RNA", at positions 29 to 523 of the family's 1533-position model. The record is from RNAcentral.